RNAcentral lists this ribosomal RNA (706 nucleotides) under uncultured Bacillus sp. Its description in RNAcentral is "bacterial SSU rRNA". It matches the Rfam family "Bacterial small subunit ribosomal RNA", at positions 56 to 748 of the family's 1533-position model. The record is from RNAcentral. Lineage: Bacteria; Bacillati; Bacillota; Bacilli; Caryophanales; Bacillaceae.
UGCAGUCGAGCGAUCAAGGGAGCUUGCUCCCUGAGGUUAGCGGCGGACGGGUGAGUAACACGUGGGCAACCUGCCUAUAAGACUGGGAUAACUUCGGGAAACCGGAGCUAAUACCGGAUAAUUCUUUUCUACACAUGUAGGAAAGCUGAAAGACGGUUUACGCUGUCACUUAUAGAUGGGCCCGCGGCGCAUUAGCUAGUUGGUGAGGUAACGGCUCACCAAGGCGACGAUGCGUAGCCGACCUGAGAGGGUGAUCGGCCACACUGGGACUGAGACACGGCCCAGACUCCUACGGGAGGCAGCAGUAGGGAAUCUUCCGCAAUGGACGAAAGUCUGACGGAGCAACGCCGCGUGAGUGAUGAAGGUUUUCGGAUCGUAAAACUCUGUUGUUAGGGAAGAACAAGUACUAGAGUAACUGCUAGUACCUUGACGGUACCUAACCAGAAAGCCACGGCUAACUACGUGCCAGCAGCCGCGGUAAUACGUAGGUGGCAAGCGUUGUCCGGAAUUAUUGGGCGUAAAGCGCGCGCAGGCGGUCCUUUAAGUCUGAUGUGAAAGCCCACGGCUCAACCGUGGAGGGUCAUUGGAAACUGGGGGACUUGAGUACAGAAGAGAAGAGUGGAAUUCCACGUGUAGCGGUGAAAUGCGUAGAGAUGUGGAGGAACACCAGUGGCGAAAGCGACUCUUUGGUCUGUAACUGACGCUG